AACAGGAGAGUAUUGGUGGGAAGAAUUGACUGGCGUAGUGAUCCUUGACCUAGUUAUGGCAAAUUGGCAAUUAGGUAUUUUCCUGAAAGUCGACUGAAUGGAAUGCCAAUGCCGUGCCUUUGGUUCAUAUUCCUAAAACUAGUGCACCAGAUUCAGUAAAGGAUUUCAGGCCCAUUGCUUGGUGCAAUGUCUCUAACAAGUGUGUGAGAAAGAUUCUAGCGAACUAAGAAGCAGGGAUAUGGGAUACGGAUACAAUACAUUGCACCAGUAGAAGCGAACAAUCCAUUUGGAAAGUUCUCACCAGGUUUGAAUUGAUUUUUGCGUUUCAUUCUUGCCCAAAUAUAAGGCUUGGGCUUUACUUUUUCGCGGUAUCGGUCUUCAUUCGGAAAAGACAUUUGGGCCUUAUUCAUUCCAAACUACUCGCUAUUUGUCUCAAAAUUUGAUAUCCGGAAGUGGUAGUGUAUCUUGUUCUCUUCCUUGAAUGUGUUAGAUUGAGCAUAUUGGUUGCACUUGUUAACAGAUUAAAACUUCAGAAAUUAGCCUACACAAGUUUGGGGGUUGGUUCAACGUCUCCAUAUAAAGAAAAAGUAGGACUAACCUUUCCUACCUACUAGGUCUCUCAUCCUCUUUAUAGGUAGGAGGAGUCUUGUACAGAAUUACAUUGUUUGUUCUAGCAUUCACCAAGUUGAGUCCUAAAGAAAAAAAAAGUUGGACAAAAAGAAACAAAGUGACAGAUAAAUCAUGUUUUGUUAUGUUUUGUUAACUGGAGCACAUAUGCUUACAAGAGACCAGAACUUCCUGGAACAAAAGCUAUCUAAUUUCUAUUGUUUCUGUUGUAUUUCCUUUUUGUGCAGUUUGUUUAGAAUUUGGGUUAGGAUAAAUUGGACUUCUCUCUCCCUACUAGCAUAAGGUUGAAUCAUAGAGAACACAAUUGAAUGGGAAAAAGGAUAGGUAAAACAACAUAUAGGUGUUGGCUUUAUGAGUGGUUAAAACGGCUUUGUUUGGAGGCUAGAGCAAUAGUUAGGCAAGAAGAGUUGAAGUGUAGGAUUUUCCAGGGUCUGAUGAGUACCUGGCAACAUUGACAUAGGCUGGUUUUGUUGCCCUUGUGUUGUAGAGUUGAAUUGUAGAAAGAAGAAGCUUGGGGGUUGUAAUGCAGUUUUUUUGGGUUGGGAAUCAGACUUAAUUCUGGAGUUACUAGGCUUUACAAGAGCAUAAAGGUAAUAAGAAAAAAGAGUAGAGAAGAGUCAAGCAAGUUAUGUCUAUUUCAAAAGUGUCACACCUAUGGGUAAGGUCAUAGUCUUGCAGAGGCCUAAAACCUCUAGAUAGUUGUCUGGAUGAUCUCCCUCUAAAGAUCUUGCAGAAUGUGUAGACGUGGAGCUUAAAUCAAUAGCAAGAUGACUGUAGGAUGGCAGUGAUCUAAUUAACUUGGGAGCUUAAAUCAAUUGCAUUCUUUACUAUAGAUUUGCAUUCUUUACCUUAACCUGCCUGUAAGGAUAUCUAAUCAUAUGUUAGACGUCCUAGAAUAUUGAUUCUUGCCGAAAUACAAGGCUUGGGCUUUACUUUAAUAGCGGUAUAGCUGGGUGGGUGAUAAGAGUCCGGAGAUAGCAGGGGUUAGCACUAAAGAAGAACUCCCACUUUGCGGCAUAUAUUUUCUUUUGUGCCUGCUGAGUGAAAUGGGCAUUUUGUUUUUGAUAGACAUUCUUGGGCAUCAAUAGAUGCUAGAAGAUGCUGUGUUGUCUGAUCAUAGAUUAUGAAUAUAACAGAUUCAUCUUAUAGUGAUGAUGUUUUUCUUUCCAUAUUUUAUUGGUUUGGGACUGGACUUAAUAUUCUUUUAUGACGAAAAGUGUGGACUCGUUGAAGAGGCAAGCCCUUGGAAUUAAAGCGAAUCUUCUAAAGGGCCUUGAAGUUCUAUGGAAGACUCUUUUCUUGAUAUAGUUGUAAAUUUGUGGCAGACCAAAUACACUUACAAACGUAGGGAGAGAAAUGAGAAUCGCGACAUUCACUAUUUGUAAUUUCUAUUGACACUUAUGAUAAAAAUUGGCUCACUUGACUCAUAAAUAUCAUAUUUCAUCUCGCUUUACUCUAUAUCCACUUUACUCUUCACUAUGUACAAAUGACUGGAUUGCACAGGGUGUAGUUGAACCUACCCAUAUACACGUACAAUGCCUGCAUUACUCCUAACCUAUGUUCGUAACUCUCCAUCUGCAUACAAGAGCCCUAGGAGUACAUGAAUGCUUCCGCAAGAGUCUUUAGUUUCUACAUGUCUGAUUUUGUUUUGUAUUUUCCUUAUGCAUAGUGGAUCUUGAUGGUUCCCUCUCUAUUACCUUCCAUUCUAAUGCUCCGAUCUACUUUUCAGACUCGGUAACUUAUCGAUUCAUAUUUGUACUAGUUUGCAAUUCCCAAUAUUGGAUCACUACUCAAGGGCCUGUCUCAGACACCAGAACUCCUUUACAAAUCGCUAGCAGCUAAGCUUGUUGUUGGCAUGCCAUUCAAGGAUCUGGCUACUGUGGACUCGAUCUCAUUGAGAGAGCUUCCCCCAGCAGAUGACAGUGAUGCUUUAAGACACCUACUCACUUUUGCUAUUAUUUCAAUGAGAAAGGGAAAAAGAAAAGUUCCUAUUUUUAAGCUCUGCUUUGUACUUGAAACCAUUCUUCGCUUUUUUAUCUAAUUCAAUUUCAAGGUGUGGAAUUGACUUGACGUUAUUUUUUAUAUCAUGUUCAGUGGCUCUCCAUUGCUGAACCUUAAAACCUUUUGGUUCAGCCAAUAGUGCAGUACAAUUUAGCCAUGGUGAUUGCCGUAUAGCGAAACACAUAGUUAGGAACUGGGUUGAUUUCCUGAAUUUUACAAAUGAUUCAACUAGGAAUGAUAUUUUUGAAGGGAUUCAACUAGGAAUGAGAUAAUAGCAGUACCUACACUUAUCCUAUUUUCCUAAGUGCCGCGCUACAGUACUAGUUCGUACUUCGGAUUUUCAAUUUUUUCCCUCGAAAGGAGGUGGUCUGAUUUCCAUCAGUGAUCUGAUUAGGUUUUGUGGUACUUCUGUAGCAAAAGAGAAACAAAACCUUUGAUAUAUUGCCACCAUUGCUGAAACCAGAGCACUUUAAACCAUAAUCAAAAUCCACUAGGCUUUGGGACACAGAUAAGACAUAGGAGGGACACUAGCUAUUCUAUAUUUUGUCCCAUUUAGAGGUGUUUCAGUUACUUUUUUUGCUACUGCAAUAACACCAAAAGAAAUUGGUGCGAAAACUAUAAUAGCCGUCAAUCAUGCGUGAGGGUAUUAAUGUCUUAAAGAACUGUUUGUGAUGACGUGAAGGUUACUCCUACAUUUUUUGGCUAAUAGGAAUUAUGCUUCUAUGUUCGUUGUAGAGAGCCGGUGAUCUUCUAUUCGUCCCAUAUAUCUGCAACCAAUUGCAGGGUAAUGGGGAAACUAUACGUGUAGUUGGUAUUGUUAAGAACCUAUUAAGUUUUACAGUUUGUCCUUGUUUAGUCCACACAUGGAAAUCAAUAUUGGUAAAGCUUUGAUUCAUCGGCUACUAUUUUGAGUACAUAGGCUACCAUUCCAAUAUGCUAAAAGUAUUGAAUGUUUCUUAGGACCAGAGGGGUAACUUCAUGUAUUUUGUACCGGUGGUAAUGUGAUUUGAAGCACAAUUAGAUGCAUACAUUGUCCUCUACGUGCAUUAAAUGCCCUCUUUUAUUUCUGGUGCUACUAUCUUUCUACUGCUAUUGUUGUUCUCUGCUGGAACUAUUGCCUCCUAUUGUUAUGGUGUAUUGUUCUGGAGAUGCUGGCUUCUGAUGAUAUCAUAGUCGAUAUGUGGUCUGAUCUCAAUGAAGACUGAAUGUUUUAUGGUUGUGGCGAAGUUGCCACACAGACUAUCAUUUCUAAACUUCAGCUAUUUCCAUUUUAUGAUAUUGUCAAGUCUCCUAUUCCUGUCAAAUAAUUAUGUGAAGCUCUUCAUUGAAAAUCCACAUCUAUCCAAAUGGAUUCAUAUUGUUUGUUGUUAGUUUCUUUUGCUUAGUAUUGUUAUAAGUUUCUUUUUAACCCGGGACCUGGUUACAUAAUCUAACACUUA
This is a long non-coding RNA of Rhododendron vialii, 4067 nucleotides long. RefSeq lists it as uncharacterized. The transcript has 3 exons. NCBI's taxonomy places the organism in Eukaryota, Viridiplantae, Streptophyta, Magnoliopsida, Ericales, Ericaceae. The record is from RefSeq and is a predicted model, not a curated record.